UUAUAAUCGACGUCAUAGCCAAGUUCGAUCGUGUUUAUUGUGGACCUUGCCGUGUGACGUCACAGUAAGGCACGCGGUGAAUGCCAACGAACUCGCGCUGCAU
RNAcentral lists this microRNA precursor (103 nucleotides) under Ciona savignyi (Pacific transparent sea squirt). RNAcentral describes it as "microRNA csa-mir-124 precursor (csa-mir-124-1)". Its record names the gene csa-mir-124-1. The stretch from base 23 to 92 matches the Rfam family "mir-124 microRNA precursor family". Rfam says of the family: The mature ~21nt miRNAs are processed from hairpin precursor sequences represented here, in this case originating from the 3' arm. The bounds of the precursors are predicted based on conservation and base pairing and are not generally known. The record is from miRBase by way of RNAcentral. Lineage: Eukaryota; Metazoa; Chordata; Ascidiacea; Phlebobranchia; Cionidae.